AGUGAACGCUGGCGGCGGGCCUAAUACAUGCAAGUCGAACGGAGUGGCGCACGGGUGAGGAAUGUACAGCUAACAUGCCCUACACUAGAGGACAACAGAUGGAAACGACUGCUAAUACUCCAAAGUGUAGGUUGAGGCUAUAUUGUAUCAGCUAGUUGGUGAUGUAAUGGCUCACCAAGGCUAUGACGAAUAACUGGUCUGAGAGGAUGAUCAGUCACACUGGAACUGAGACACGGUCCAGACUCCUACGGGAGGCAGCAGUAGGGAAUAGUGCUCAAUGGGCGAAACCCUGAAGCAGCAACGCCGCGUGGAGGAUGACACUUUUCGGAGCGUAAACUCCUUUUGGUAGGGAAGCGGUACCUAACGAAUAAGCACCUGCUAACUCCGUGCCAGCAGCCGCGGUAAUUC
Molecule: ribosomal RNA, 408 nt
Filed under: uncultured bacterium
Lineage: Bacteria
Description: partial 16S ribosomal RNA
Rfam family: Bacterial small subunit ribosomal RNA
Source: RNAcentral